UGGCAUCCGAUUCAACGGUAGUAGAUCCCGCCCGUAGCCAGCUAGCUCUGGGUUCGAGUGGCAUUUCACCCC
Molecule: transfer RNA, 72 nt
Filed under: Laurus azorica
Lineage: Eukaryota; Viridiplantae; Streptophyta; Magnoliopsida; Laurales; Lauraceae
Description: tRNA-Lys
Source: RNAcentral